UACGUAGGGUGCGAGCGUUAAUCGGAAUUACUGGGCGUAAAGCGUGCGCAGGCGGUUUUGUAAGCCAGAUGUGAAAUCCCCGGGCUUAACCUGGGAAUGGCAUUUGGGACUGCAAGGCUCGAGUGCGGCAGAGGAGACUGGAAUUCUCGGUGUAGAGGUGAAAUUCGUAGAUAUCGAGAGGAACACCGGCGGCGAAGGCGGCCAUCUGGACGAGGACUGACGCUGAGAUGCGAAAGCGUGGGGAGCAAACAGG
RNAcentral lists this ribosomal RNA (253 nucleotides) under uncultured bacterium. RNAcentral describes it as "partial 16S ribosomal RNA". It matches the Rfam family "Bacterial small subunit ribosomal RNA", at positions 524 to 776 of the family's 1533-position model. The record is from RNAcentral.